UUACCACUUUGUGGUUCAUGACUGGGGUGAAGUCGUAACAAGGUAGCGCUAGGGGAACCUGGCGCUGGAUCACCUCCUUAUACGAUGAU
This 89-nucleotide ribosomal RNA is filed under the name Vibrio alginolyticus. Its description in RNAcentral is "partial 16S ribosomal RNA". The stretch from base 1 to 80 matches the Rfam family "Bacterial small subunit ribosomal RNA", at positions 1454 to 1533 of the family's 1533-position model. RNAcentral also lists the same sequence under 1 other name. The record is from RNAcentral. Lineage: Bacteria; Pseudomonadati; Pseudomonadota; Gammaproteobacteria; Vibrionales; Vibrionaceae.